This 3472-nucleotide long non-coding RNA is filed under the name Ananas comosus (pineapple). Its description in RNAcentral is "long non-coding RNA (ACOM_LNC010470)". Lineage: Eukaryota; Viridiplantae; Streptophyta; Magnoliopsida; Poales; Bromeliaceae. The record is from RNAcentral.
UUUUACCAAAUCAGAAGUAAAUCUUAAUAUUAUCUGUAACUAGAUUUUCACCCGUGCGAUGCACGGCUAAUAUAAUAAUAUAGAAUAUUAAAAAUUAUUAUGUGAUGAUAACAAAAAGAUUUUCUAAUUAAUUUUAUAUUUUUUAACAAAUAAAAAAAUAUACUAUCAAUCUUAAUUAUAAUACAUAAUACAUAUUAAAGUACACAAGAGAAAAAAAAAAUUUGGACCAAAGUAAAUAUUCAACUAAGAUGCAAAAUUCAAUCCUCCUGUAUUAUCUAUGAAUUGGUAUUCAAAAUAAUUUACAUUUACAUAUUGAUGUGCGAAAUAAAAUGAUAACUAAAAUUGAUAUGAAAAAUUAUAAAUGACAUUAAUAUUUAAGCAUAUAAUGAGAUCAACUAAACUUUCAUAUUUGACACAAAUUAGAGUAAGCACACAUAUAUUAUGUUUCUACUGUCGCUUUUAAGAUUNGCGUACUUCGCAAUCAAUAAUUUUAAAUAAUUAAUUAAACCAAUAAUUUCAAAUAAUUCGUAACUAAAUAUUCAUAUUUGAGUUUGACACGUGGCAAGUAUAUAGAAAGCCACGUGUCAGCUUCUCACAUAGGGUUCAUUAAGGGUUCUACUUUUAAGCGAAGAAAAUUACAGGAGUUAUGUGAGUUUUAAAUUUUUUCCUCUUUCCAAAAAUGCCUCUAUCCUUUUUUACUAAUAUUUUUAUGUCCAAAAAUUUUCAACCGAUCAUUUUAAAUAAUUAACUAAGUAAUAAUUUAUUUCCAAAUAAAGAUAAAUAUUUUGCUUCUCAUUCUCAACAGAUUAUUGCGUACUUCGCAAUCAAUAAUUUUAAAUAAUUAAUUAAACCAAUAAUUUCAAAUAAUUCGUAACUAAAUAUUCAUAUUUGAGUUUGACACGUGGCAAGUAUAUAGAAAGCCACGUGUCAGCUUCUCACAUAGGGUUCAUUAAGGGUUCUACUUUUAAGCGAAGAAAAUUACAGGAGUUAUGUGAGUUUUAAAUUUUUUCCUCUUUCCAAAAAUGCCUCUAUCCUUUUUUACUAAUAUUUUUAUGUCCAAAAAUUUUCAACCGAUCAUUUUAAAUAAUUAACUAAGUAAUAAUUUAUUUCCAAAUAAAGAUAAAUAUUUUGCUUCUCAUUCUCAACAGAUUAUUGCGUACUUCGCAAUCAAUAAUUUUAAAUAAUUAAUUAAACCAAUAAUUUCAAAUAAUUCGUAACUAAAUAUUCAUAUUUGAGUUUGACACGUGAUAAUUUUAAAUAAUUAAUUAAACCAAUAAUUUCAAAUAAUUCGUAACUAAAUAUUCAUAUUUGAGUUUGACACGUGGCAAGUAUAUAGAAAGCCACGUGUCAGCUUCUCACAUAGGGUUCAUUAAGGGUUCUACUUUUAUAUAUAGUAAUAGAUAGAUAUUCCAAACCAUAUUAUAUGGAAUAUAUGUAUUACAUCUAUUUAGUAUAAGCCAUCUCUUUAAAAUGCUGUUAUAAUUAAAGGAUUAUAUUAUAUAUAGGGAAAACUUCAAAAAACCCCUCUAUGGUUUCACACUUUUUCAUUUUAGUACUCUGUGGUUUAACGUGUAUUAAGUUAGUACCCUGUGGUUUCUCACUUUAUCACUUUAGUACCAUGUGGUUUAAAGUGUAUCAAGUUAGUACCCUGUGAUUUUGCAGUUUAUCACUUUAGUACCAUGUGGUUUCACAUUUUAUCACUUUAGUACCCUAUAGUUUAAAAAACCACAGGGUAUUAAUUUGAUACAAAAUCAAAACCACAUGGUACUAAAGUGAUAAAAUGCAAAACCACAUGGUACUAACUUGAUACACUUUAAACCACAGAGUACUAAAGUGAUAAAGUGAGAAACCACAAGAUACUAACUUGAUACAUUUUAAACCACAUGGUACUAAAGUAAAAAAAAUUGAAACCACAAGGGGGUUAAAAUUGAAACAACAGGGUACAUUUUAAACCACAGGUUACAUAUAUUUAGUAUAAGCCAUCUCUUUAAAAUGCUGUUAUAAUUAAAGGAUUAUAUUAUAGAUAUUUAUAAGAAUAUCUAUAAGUCAUCUGUUUAAAAUGCUGUUAUAAUUAAAGAAUUAUAUAUACGAGUGAAGGCCCGCGCUUCGCGGCAGAAAAUUUACAAAAAAAAAUCAAAAUAAAUAAUUAAAUAUUUAAAUUUUAAAAUGUUUUAUUAUUCAAAAAUUAAAUUUAAAUUUAGAAUAUAAAAUGUUGAAGCUUAAAAUUUAAAUUUUAAUAUAUCAAAUUGAAAUUUCAAUAUUUAGAAUUUAAUAUUUAGAUUUUAAAAUUCAAUUUAUAAUUUAAUAUAUAUUUAAAAUAUUGAAAUUUUAAAUUUUAAAUUUAGAACUUAAAAUUUAAAAUAUUUAUAUUUUAUCUUAAUUACUAAUUAAUAUAUAUAUAUAGAACUAGGCUACUAUACUAUCGGUAGCACGGAGCGCCCCGUGCUACCAAGUUGUUUUCGAUGAUGCGGCUUCCAAAUCGACGAUCGGCUNNNUAUAUAUAUAUAUAUAUAUUAUUUAUAAAUAUAUAUAUUUAGUAUAUAUAUUUUUAUAAUUCUAUCUCUCUCUCUCUCUAUAUAUAUAUAUAUAAAUUUGAAUAGAAAACUUUAAUUGUUGUAUUUAAAUUUAAAGUUUAAAUUUAAUUUUUUAUUUUUUUGUAUGUGAAUCACAAUACUAAAGAAAAAUUUGGGAAAGGAAAAAAAGAAGAGAGAGAGAGAGAAUAUAUAUUCUAUCUCUCUCUCUCUAUAUAUGUAUAUUAUUCUAUUUAUAUAUAUAUAUAUAUAUAUAAAUUUAAAUAGAAAAUUUUAAUUGGGGGAUNUAUAAAUGACAUUAAUAUUUAAGCAUAUAAUGAGAUCAACUAAACUUUCAUAUUUGACCCAAAUUAGAGUAAGCACACAUAUAUUAUGUUCCUACUGUCGCUUUAAGAUUCAAAAAUAUAUAGAUGUUGGUUUUCAAGAAAAUAUAAAGAAAAAAAAUUUUGUUGUAUGAAAAUGAAAAAUUACAUGAGUGACAGAAGGAAAAAAAUUACGAAAUGAAAAUUAUAGAAGUGACAGUAGGAAAAUAAUAUGUUCUAUUUUAAAGCAUCAAUAUUUAAGAGCGAAGAAAAUUACAGGAGUUAUGUGAGUUUUAAAUUUUUUUCUCUUUCCAAAAAUGCCUCUAUCCUUUUUUACUAAUAUUUUUAUGUCCAAAAAUUUUCAACCGAUCAUUUUAAAUAAUUAACUAAGUAAUAAUUUAUUUCCAAAUAAAGAUAAAUAUUUUGCUUCUCAUUCUCAACAGAUUAUUGCGUACUUCGCAAUCAAUAAUUUUAAAUAAUUAAUUAAACCAAUAAUUUUAAAUAAUUCGUAACUAAAUAUUCAUAUUUGAGUUUGACACGUGGCAAGUAUAUAGAAAGCCACGUGUCAGCUUCUCACAUAGGGUUCAUUAAGGGUUCUACUUUUAUAUAUAGUAAUAGAUAGAUAUUCCAAACCAUAUU